AUAAAUGAAUGGUGCAUCUUUGAAAUGACGGCAUCUUAAGAGUCAAUGAACUAUGAUAUGUAUAAUGCACAGUGGAAAGAUUCCAGAUUAGAACCUCCCCAAGGUCAGGGCAUUUACCAAUUCAAAUCAUGGGGCAUGAUAAUAUGGAAGAAGGUGGCCUAAAGCUCUGGUAAUCUCACUGAGCCAGAGAAACAGUACAUCCAGGACUUGAGGAGUUAAGUUCCCAGAGAAAAAGGAACCAAAGAAAAAUACUAUACUGAUGACUCACAUAUGGACUCAAAUUUGGACUGGAACAUCUCCAAAAACUCAACCUCAUGUGUUUGAAUUAUAAAUAUGACAGCUGAAUAUCAAAGCCAACUAACUCUGAAU
Long non-coding RNA from Balaenoptera acutorostrata (minke whale), 369 nucleotides. RefSeq lists it as uncharacterized. The transcript has 3 exons. Lineage: Eukaryota; Metazoa; Chordata; Mammalia; Artiodactyla; Balaenopteridae. The record is from RefSeq and is a predicted model, not a curated record.